GCCAGGCAUGGUGGCGCAUGCCUGUAAUCCCAGCUACUCGGGAGGCUGAGGCAGGAGAAUCGCUUGAACCUGGGAGGCAGAGGUUGCAGUGAGCCAAGACUGCACCACUGCACUCCAGCCUGGGUGAUGGAGCGAGCCUCUGUCUCAA
Molecule: non-coding RNA, 148 nt
Filed under: Gorilla gorilla gorilla (western lowland gorilla)
Lineage: Eukaryota; Metazoa; Chordata; Mammalia; Primates; Hominidae
Source: Rfam by way of RNAcentral